UAGGGAAUCUUCCGCAAUGGACGCAAGUCUGACGGAGCAACGCCGCGUGAGUGAAGAAGGAUUUCGGUUCGUAAAACUCUGUUGUUAGAGAAGAACAGCGCAUAGAGUAACUGUUAUGCGUGUGACGGUAUCUAACCAGAAAGCCACGGCUAACUACGUGCCAGCAGCCGCGGUAAUACGUAGGUGGCAAGCGUUGUCCGGAUUUAUUGGGCGUAAAGCGAGCGCAGGCGGUCAAUUAAGUCUGAUGUGAAAGCCCCCGGCUCAACCGGGGAGGGUCAUUGGAAACUGGUUUACUUGAGUGCAGAAGAGGAGAGUGGAAUUCAAUGUGUAGCGGUGAAAUGCGUAGAUAUAUGGAGGAACACCAGUGGCGAAGGCGACUCUCUGGUCUGUAACUGACGCGGAGGUUCGAAAGCGUGGGUAGCAAACAGG
This 429-nucleotide ribosomal RNA is filed under the name Bacteroidota bacterium. RNAcentral describes it as "Bacteroidetes bacterium partial 16S ribosomal RNA". It matches the Rfam family "Bacterial small subunit ribosomal RNA", at positions 355 to 776 of the family's 1533-position model. The record is from RNAcentral. Lineage: Bacteria; Pseudomonadati; Bacteroidota.